GAUGAAGAACGUAGCGAACUGCGAUAAGUAAUGUGAAUUGCAGAAUUCAGUGAAUCAUCGAGUCUUUGAACGCACAUUGCGCCCCCUGGCAUUCCGGGGGGCAUGCCUGUCCGAGCGUCAUUGCUGCCCUUCAAGCCCGGCUUGUGUGUUGGGUCGUCGUCCCCCCCGGGGGACGGGCCCGAAAGGCAGCGGCGGCACCGCGUCCGGUCCUCGAGCGUAUGGGGCUUUGUCACCCGCUCGAUUAGGGCCGGCCGGGCGCCAGCCGGCGUCUCCAACCUUCUAUUUUACAAGGUUGACCUCGGAUCAGGUAGGGAUACCCGCUGAACUUAAGCAUAUCAAUAAGCGGAGGA
RNAcentral lists this unclassified non-coding RNA (350 nucleotides) under soil metagenome. Its description in RNAcentral is "partial contains 5.8S ribosomal RNA, internal transcribed spacer 2, and large subunit ribosomal RNA". The stretch from base 1 to 120 matches the Rfam family "5.8S ribosomal RNA", at positions 35 to 154 of the family's 154-position model. The record is from RNAcentral.